Molecule: ribosomal RNA, 494 nt
Filed under: uncultured Eubacteriales bacterium
Lineage: Bacteria; Bacillati; Bacillota; Clostridia; Eubacteriales
Description: bacterial SSU rRNA
Rfam family: Bacterial small subunit ribosomal RNA
Source: RNAcentral
AGACGUUUGUAGCCUAGGCUCAGGAUGACGCUGCGGCGUGCACACAUGCAAGUCGAACGGGCACGGCGUGCGGCAGGGGCCCUGGCCCCUGCGGCGCCGCGCGACGUGGCGACGGGUGAGUAACGCUGGGCAACCUGCCCUGUACUGGGGAUAACACCUGGAACAGGUGCUAAUACCGCAUAAGCGCGCUGUGCCGCAUGGCGCGGCGCGGAAAACCCCGGUGGUACAGGAUGGGCCCGCGUCUGAUUAGCUGGUUGGCAGGUAACGGCCUACCAAGGCGACGAUCAGUAGCCGGCCUGAGAGGGUGGACGGCCACACUGGGACUGAGACACGGCCCAGACUCCUACGGGAGGCAGCAGUGGGGAAUAUUGCACAAUGGGGGGAACCCUGAUGCAGCGACGCCGCGUGGGUGAAGGAGCGUUUCGGCGCGUAAAGCCCUAUCGGCAGGGAAGAAGAUGACGGUACCUGACCAAGAAGCCCCGGCUAACUACGUG